AGGCAAGACUGUGGAUGGAACCAAAAUUGGUAGCAAGCCGUUUGGUGGUAAGCUGGAUGUGUAUUCAAAAGGUUUGAGAUCUCUUUUGAAGUAUAUUAAGGACAAUUAUGGCGAUCCAGAGAUUAUGAUCACAGAAAAUGGAUACGGAGAUGAUCUUGGAGAUAAGCAUGAUGAUGUAGAA
Camelina sativa (false flax) is the source of this 181-nucleotide non-coding RNA. NCBI's taxonomy places the organism in Eukaryota, Viridiplantae, Streptophyta, Magnoliopsida, Brassicales, Brassicaceae. The record is from RefSeq and is a predicted model, not a curated record.